RNAcentral lists this ribosomal RNA (649 nucleotides) under Macalpinomyces spermophorus. RNAcentral's name for it is "eukaryotic LSU rRNA". It matches the Rfam family "Eukaryotic large subunit ribosomal RNA", at positions 1 to 628 of the family's 3401-position model. The record is from RNAcentral. Lineage: Eukaryota; Fungi; Basidiomycota; Ustilaginomycetes; Ustilaginales; Ustilaginaceae.
UCAUCGGCCUCAGAUUGGUAGGACUACCCGCUGAACUUAAGCAUAUCAAUAAGCGGAGGAAAAGAAACUAACAAGGAUUCCCCUAGUAACGGCGAGUGAAGAGGGAAGAGCCCAAGAUUGAAAGCUGGCGUCUUCGGCGUCCGCAUUGUAAUCUCAAGAAGUGUUUUCCGCUUCGGACCAAGCCUAAGUCCCCUGGAAAGGGGCAUCAUAGAGGGUGAUAAUCCCGUACAUGGCUUGGAGCGCCCGUAGCUUUGUGAUACACUUUCUAAGAGUCGAGUUGUUUGGGAAUGCAGCUCAAAAUGGGUGGUAAAUGCCAUCUAAGGCUAAAUAUUGGGGAGAGACCGAUAGCGAACAAGUACAGUGAUGGAAAGAUGAAAAGAACUUUGAAAAGAGAGUUAAACAGUACGUGAAAUUGCCAAAAGGGAAGGGUAGGAGGUCAGAGAUGCGGCCUAGGAUUCAGCCUUGCUUUUGCUUGGUGUUUUUCCUAGAUUGCAGGCCAACGUCGGUUUUGGGCACUGGAGAAGGGUGGAAGGAACGUGGCACCUCUCGGGGUGUGUUAUAGCCUUCUACUGGAUACAGCGACCGAGACCGAGGACAGCAGCGUACUCGCAAGAGCGGGCCUUCGGGCACCUUUACGCUUAGGGCGUUG